Molecule: long non-coding RNA, 624 nt
Organism: Dalotia coriaria
Lineage: Eukaryota; Metazoa; Arthropoda; Insecta; Coleoptera; Staphylinidae
Exons: 3
Source: RefSeq, a predicted model, not a curated record
AUCAAGGACAACGAGUUCGAAAUAUUUCAAUACAUAAAUACAUAAAUACAUAAAUAACAUUGGACGUGUUGGUUGUUGGACGAUAAUGGCAGCGCAUAAUAACAUGUCGGUUAUGACCGGAAUGCACAAUUAUAUACAAACACAAAUAUAAAUCAAAUAAAUUCUUUAGUUUUAUUUAAGAUAAGUGAGCUCUGUAAUUACUGUCAUAAAUUUGUCAUUUUGAAAUGAAAAACACAAAAAUUCAGUGGAAUUAGAUAAUAUGGUCUAAAUUAUCGUAUUUUUUAGUAAAAGCUUCAAUUAUGGGAGGACAAAUUGAACAGAUUGCCAAAAUAGCUGUUUGUGCUGUCAUUAUUUUGGCUUGCGUAAAAAUAAUUUUACGAUAGUGAUAAAAAUUUUAUUUUAAUUUCCUGUAAACUGCAAUGGGAAGAGACGAAGAAAACGCUCUGAAGAUUGUUUGUUUUUUGUUGAUUGCAUUGGCUGUUUUGAAAGUGAUGCGUUAAACACCAGAAGAAAAUUGACUUAAGAAACAAUACUUUAAAACAAAAAUGAAAAAUAGCAAAUUUGUUCUUGUAUUUUGACUUAAAUGUAAAAAAAUAAAAUGUAUUGAGGCUGAAAAAUCAAUAA